GACGAACGCUGGCGGCGUGCUUAACACAUGCAAGUCGAACGGAAAGGCCCUGCUUUUGUGGGGUGCUCGAGUGGCGAACGGGUGAGUAACACGUGAGUAACCUGCCCUUGACUUUGGGAUAACUUCAGGAAAAUGGGGCUCAUAUCGGAUAGGAGCUCCUGCUCCAUGGGGGGCGUUGGAAAGAUUCGGCGGUUGGGGCUCGACUCGCGGCUUAUCAGCUUGUUGGGGGGGUUGGGGUUUACCAGGGCUUUGACGGGUAGCCUGCCUGGGCGGGUGACCGGGCACCUUGGGACUGAGGUACGGCCCAGAAUCCAACGUGACGCAGCGGGGGGGAGUAUGGCGGAGUGGGCGGAAGCCUGAGACAGAGACGCCGCGUGCGUGAUGACGGCCUACGGGUUGUAAACCGCUGUCGCCUGUGACGAAGCGUGAGUGACGGUAAUGGGUAAAAAAGCACCGGCUAACUACGUG
This 468-nucleotide ribosomal RNA is filed under the name uncultured bacterium. RNAcentral describes it as "partial 16S ribosomal RNA". It matches the Rfam family "Bacterial small subunit ribosomal RNA", at positions 28 to 507 of the family's 1533-position model. The record is from RNAcentral.